Molecule: non-coding RNA, 1267 nt
Organism: Sus scrofa (pig)
Lineage: Eukaryota; Metazoa; Chordata; Mammalia; Artiodactyla; Suidae
Source: RefSeq, a predicted model, not a curated record
AGAGCUGAGGUGUGGACUCCAGGCCCGGACUGGAGAAGGUCGAGGGGGAUCCUGACCCAGAACAUGCAAGAAGGCAGGUUACACAGGAGCAAGUGGAGGAAAGCAGACCUCAGUGCUCUGCCAUCUGUGAAGCUCAGCCUAAGGGUGACCUUCAGGAGCCCCCUCAUUGUGACCAGGAGUGGGAAGCCCUGGGCCUCUUCUACCUCUUCCACGGGCAGUGGAGCUGAGCCUGUGUUGCAGCUGCUCCCUCAGGCGGUCAUUAAUACAGAUGGACUCCUCCAGGCGCUGGCGAAGAUUCCGGAUUUCACCAAGAUGCUCUUCCAGCAAGUCAGCCCCUGCAGCCAUCGCGCCAAGACAGGAGGAGGAACAAAGGAGAGUCUACACUGAUUCAGGCAUCUGAAGCCUGAGGAGAAGGGAGAAAAACACCCCCAAGGAAAGAAGAAAAGAUUCAGAGAAGAUCACUGGGAGGGAUGGUAAUGACAGACCACAGCCCGGUGCCUCACUUUGCUCUGGAUGCAGCCUUGUCCUGAAAAUCACAGUUCUCUUCCUGUUGGACCUUAGCAGCAUCCCAGCAUUACCUGCAGAGUCACCCCACUCCAGACACACAGUGCAGAGCACAUGCCCUGAAACCAUGCAGAGAUACCACACAGACUCUUACACAAGAGGGUUUUAGCCCCUAGUGGCCUGAGAAGUUGCCAUGCACCACUCUCCACUUCGAAGCUUGGUUUAAAGCAAAGGAGGAGCCCUGGUAAGUGAUGAUUGCUUGGAGAACGCUGUGCUUCCUCAGGCAAAAGAAACAGCUACAAGCCUCCUCACCAAGGCUGGGACCAUCCAAACUCUGGUCAGUGACACAGACUGGCUAUGACUCCCAUUUAGCCCCCAUCAUCAGACCCUUUCUCAUGCACAGUGCUCUCCUUCUGUAUUUCCCUCUGGGCCAAGACCAACUGACACUGUGGGAAGAUGAAGGAAAAAGAGGGAAGGAAAAGAAAAGUGACCUAGAGAACAUUCUUGCCUUUUGUCAUGGAACAGAUUUGUUAUCCAUCAACUGUUGGUUCCGGAACUGCUGUAGUGGCAAGUUCUAGGUCGGAGUGAACUGCGUCUUUCUCUCAUCUUUAAAGAGAGAGAAAAGGUUGUUGCAAGGGGACCCCAGAAUGUCUUCACGAGCUAGAAGCUCUAUGCUCUGAGCAAGAUGGUAACAAAACCAUCCUAGAUAGCAAAGGUAUAAUGGCAACAUGGAAGUGGGACUCGAAGACCAAGGUUCAGGCCU